RNA transcript from Brachypodium distachyon (stiff brome), 1801 nucleotides. It is a transcript of the gene named mitogen-activated protein kinase 6, with no coding region annotated. NCBI's taxonomy places the organism in Eukaryota, Viridiplantae, Streptophyta, Magnoliopsida, Poales, Poaceae. The transcript has 8 exons. The record is from RefSeq and is a predicted model, not a curated record.
CGCCCCACGCGCGCGGUCUCCGUCUCCGCCUCGGCUGGCUCCCAAUCCUCGUUCCCCCGGUCGCCGCCCAAGUCAAAAAGAGGGGCGGAAGCUUCUCCACCACAGUCCCCAACCCAUCAACGACUAGUCGCUGUGGAGCACCAACCCUAGCACCCAACCCGACUGUUCUCCCCCUCGCGAGCGGCGAGGAAGACGCCAUGGAUACUUCCGGCGGCGGCGGCGCGGGUGGGGCGGCGCAGAUCCAGGGGAUGGCGACGCACGGCGGGCGCUACGUGCUGUACAACGUGUACGGGAACCUCUUCGAGGUCGCCUCCAAGUACGCCCCUCCCAUACGCCCCAUCGGCCGCGGCGCCUACGGCAUUGUCUGCGCGGCCGUCAGUUCGGAUACUGGAGAGGAGGUUGCGAUCAAGAAAAUUGGAAAUGCAUUUGACAACCACAUCGACGCCAAGCGGACACUGAGAGAAAUAAAGCUUCUUCGCCACAUGGACCAUGAGAAUAUUAUUGCCAUAAAGGACAUAAUACGCCCCCCAAGAAGAGACGAUUUUAAGGAUGUCUACAUUGUUACUGAGUUGAUGGACACCGAUCUCCAUCAGAUCAUACGCUCAAAUCAGCCAUUGACCGAUGACCAUUGCCAGUACUUCUUGUAUCAGUUGCUACGAGGGCUAAAAUAUGUGCAUUCAGCAAAUGUCUUGCACCGUGAUCUGAAGCCAAGUAAUUUAUUCCUAAACGCAAAUUGUGAUCUCAAGAUUGCGGACUUUGGGCUUGCAAGGACCACAUCCGAGACUGAUCUCAUGACAGAGUAUGUGGUCACUCGUUGGUACCGAGCACCAGAGUUGCUGUUGAACUGUUCACAAUAUACUGCUGCUAUUGAUGUCUGGUCAGUUGGGUGCAUACUUGGUGAAAUUAUUACUCGCCAACCCCUAUUUCCUGGGAGGGAUUACAUUCAACAACUAAAAUUGAUCACUGAGUUGAUAGGGUCACCAGAUGAUUCGAGCCUGGGAUUUCUUCGGAGUGAUAAUGCACGAAGAUAUAUGAAACAACUACCACAGUACCCAAGGCAGGACUUCCGCUUGCGCUUCCGCAACAUGUCUGAUGGUGCAGUUGAUCUGUUAGAGAGAAUGCUGGUGUUUGAUCCAAGCAGACGGAUCACUGUUGAUGAGGCUCUGCAUCAUCCAUACUUGGCUUCUCUUCAUGACAUCAAUGAAGAACCCACAUGCCCGGCACCCUUCAGCUUUGAUUUUGAGCAACCUUCAUUUACAGAGGAACAUAUGAAAGAACUCAUCUGGAGGGAAACUUUAGCAUUUAACCCUGAUCCUCCCUACUAAGAGAUAAGGAUUCCACGCCCAAUGAUGGGAGCCAAACAAGCUGUUAGUGUUUUGUAAAAUUAUAUUCGCAAGAACAAUUUACCAGCUGAAGGCAUCGAAAAUCUGUAGCUCCAGCGAAGCCAAAACUUCCAUGCCUGUGCAACUAUUUAUUUUGUGCCCAUAUAUUCGGCAAAUGGUCAAGGAUUAUGUCUUGCAGUAACAAUCUUUCCUAAGGCCUCUCUAGAGAAACAGCUUCCGUACCAUUUUCGGAUGGCCUGCACCUGGGCUUUGUAUCAUACCGGUUGAUUGAAUAAACUCUUCUUGUGUAUCUAGGCUUGUAAUUUUGUGGACAUUUACUUAAACAUCCCAUGUAUAUCUGAGUUUGACAUCUCAAGUUGUAUUAUCUGGAACAUGUCAUUUUGCAUCCUGUGACUCUUUUUGAGGAUGCAUCCUGUGACUCUCCAUAUCGAAGUUUGUUGAUUUGCUUUGGAAUUCCA